GUUCUUAAGUAGUGUGGACACAAUGUUCUGGAAGGGGAGCAGGUUGGAGGGGUGAGAGAGAGUGUGCGCAACACAGCAGAACAUUUAGCAACAAUUAGGAACGCUCCUGGCUGUGAACACAGCCUCACUGGGGAAUCAUCGUCUUCAAGUUCAGUCUCAGAAACCAGCAGCAGAGGGGAGCCACUGUAGUGAAGGAGGAGAUGUCUAACUGGUCUGCUUGUACUGUGUUCUGCAGUAAGACCCUCCCCAGGGAUAGACUCAAGCUCAUCUCAGGUUUGGGCCAGGACAGACAUAACAGAGGAGGGGUUCAGCUCUAGACCAGGACAUAACAGAGGAGGGGUUCAGCACUGGACCAGGACAUAACAGAGGAGGGGUUCAGCACUGGACCAGGACAUAACAGAGGGGUUCAGCACAGGACCAGGACAUAACAGAGGAGGGGUUCAGCACUGGACCAGGACA
Oncorhynchus tshawytscha (Chinook salmon) is the source of this 459-nucleotide long non-coding RNA. RefSeq lists it as uncharacterized. The transcript has 2 exons. The record is from RefSeq and is a predicted model, not a curated record. Lineage: Eukaryota; Metazoa; Chordata; Actinopteri; Salmoniformes; Salmonidae.